AUGCCCGUCUCUCCUCUCUCUCUCUCUCCCAAUGCCCGUCUCUCCUCUCUCUCUCUCCCCAUACCCGUCUCUCCUCUCUCUCUCUCCCCAUACCCGUCUCUUCUCUCUCUCUCCCAUACCGUCUCUCUCUCUCUCUCUCUCUCCAUACCCGUCUCUCUCUCUCUCCAUACCCGUCUCUCUCCUCUCUCUCUCUCUCUCUCUCUCUCUCUCUCUCUCCAUACCCGUCUCUCUCCUCUCUCCCCGUGCCCGUCUCUCCUCUCUCUCUCUCCAUACCCGUCUCUCUCCUCUCUCUCUCUCCCCAUACCCGUCCCUUCUCUCUCUCUCUCUCUCCAUACCGUCGCUCUCUCACUCUCUCUCUCUCUCCAUACCCGUCUCUCUCCUCUCUCUCUCGCUCUCUCUCCCCAUACCGUCCCUUCUCUCUCUCUCUCUCCAUACCGUCGCUCUCUCACUCUCUCUCUCUCUCCAUACCCGUCUCUCUCCUCUCUCUCUCUCUCUCUCUCCAUACCCGUCUCUCUCCUCUCUCUCUCUCCCCAUGCCCGUCUCUCCUCUCUCUUCCAUAUCCAUCUCUCUCCUCUGUCUCUCUCUCCCCAUGCCCGUCUCUCCUCUCUUUCUCUCUCCAUACCCGUCUCUCUCCUCUCUCUCUCCCCAUACCUGUCUCUCCUCUCUCUCUCCCCAUACCCGUCUCUUCUCGCUCUCUCUCCCCAUGCCGUCCCUUCUCUCUCUCUCUCUCCAUACCGUCGCUCUCUCACUCUCUCUCUCUCUCCAUACCCGUCUCUCUCCUCUCUCUCUCUCUCUCUCUCCAUACCCGUCUCUCUCCUCUCUCUCUCUCCCCAUGCCCGUCUCUCCUCUCUCUCUCUCCAUAUCCAUCUCUCUCCUCUGUCUCUCUCUCCCCAUGCCCGUCUCUCCUCUCUUUCUCUCUCCAUACCCGUCUCUCUCCUCUCUCUCUCCCCAUACCCGUCUCUCCUCUCUCUCUCCCCAUACCCGUCUCUUCUCUCUCUCUCUCUCUCCCCAUACCGUCUCUCCUCUCUCUCUCUCUCUCUCUCUCUCUCUCUCCAUACCCGUCUCUCCUCUCUCUCUCUCUCUCUCUCUCCAUACCCGUCUCUCCUCUCUCUCUCUCUCCCCAUACCCAUCUCUCCUCUCUCUCUCUCCCAUUUACCCGUCUCUCCUCUCUCUCUCUCUCUCUCUCCUCAUACCCGUCUCUCCUCUCUCUCUCUCUCCCCAUACCCGUCUCUCCUCUCUCUCUCUCCCCAUACCCGUCUCUCCUCUCUCUCUCUCUCCCCAUACCCGUCUCUCCUCUCUCUCUCUCCCCAUACCGUCUCUCCUCUCUCUCUCUCUCUCCCCAUACCCGUCUCUCCUCUCUCUCUCUCUCCCCAUACCCGUCUCUCCUCUCUCUCUCUCCCCAUGCCCGUCUCUCUUCUCUCUCUCCCCAUACCCGUCUCUCCUCUCUCUCUCUCUCCCCAUACCGGUCUCUCCCCUCUCUCUCGCUCUCUCUCUCCCCAUACCCGUCUCUUCUCUCUCUCUCUCCCCAUACCGUCUCUCUCUCUCUCUCUCUCUCCAUACCCGUCUCUCUCUCUCUCCAUACCCGUCUCUCCUCUCUCUCUCUCGCUCUCUCCAUACCCAUCUCUCUCCUCUCUCUCUCUCUCUCCCCAUGCCCGUCUCUCCUCUCUCUCUCUCUCCAUACCCGUCUCUCUCCUCUCUCUCUCCCCAUACCCGUAUCUCCUCUCUCUCCCCAUACCUGUCUCUUCUCUCUCUCUCUCCCCAUACCGUCUCUCUCCUCUCUCUCUCUCUCUCUCCAUACCCGUCUCUCCUCUCUCUCUCUCUCUCUCCAUACCGUCUCUCUCCUCUCUCUCUCCCCAUACCCGUCUCUCCUCUCUCUCUCUCCCCAUACCCAUCUCUCCUCUCUCUCUCUCCCAUUUACCCGUCUCUCCUCUCUCUCUCUCUCCUCAUACCCGUCUCUCCUCUCUCUCUCUCUCCCCAUACCCGUCUCUCCUCUCUCUCUCUCUCCCCAUACCCGUCUCUCCUCUCUCUCUCUCCCCAUACCCAUCUCUCCUCUCUCUCUCUCUCCAUACCCGUCUCUCUCCCCUCUCUCUCCCCAUACCCGUCUCUCCUCUCUCUCCCCAUACCUGUCUCUUCUCUCUCUCUCUCCCCAUACCCGUCUCUCCUCUCUCUCUCUCUUUCCCCAUACCCGUCUCUCCUCUCUCUCUCUCCCCAUACGCGUCUCUCCUCUCUCUCUCUCCCCAUACCAUCGCUCUCUCUCUCUCUCUCUCUCCAUACCCGUCUCUUUCCUCUCUCUCUCUCUCUCUCCCCAUACCCGUCUCUCUCCUCUCUCUCUCUCCCCAUGCCCGUCUCUCCUUUCUCUCUCCCUAUACCCGUCUCUCCUCUCUCUCUCUCCCCAUACCCGUCUCUCUCCUCUCUCUCUCCCCAUACCCAUCUCUCCUCUCUCUCUCUCUCUCUCUCCCCAUGCCGUCGCUCUCUCUCUCU
This 2481-nucleotide long non-coding RNA is filed under the name Oncorhynchus mykiss (rainbow trout). RNAcentral describes it as "lncRNA (ENSOMYG00000060996.1)". Lineage: Eukaryota; Metazoa; Chordata; Actinopteri; Salmoniformes; Salmonidae. The record is from RNAcentral.